Molecule: ribosomal RNA, 273 nt
Filed under: uncultured bacterium
Lineage: Bacteria
Description: partial small subunit ribosomal RNA
Rfam family: Bacterial small subunit ribosomal RNA
Source: RNAcentral
AGGACGAACGCUGGCGGCGUGCUUAACACAUGCAAGUCGAACGCGAAAGUCCCCGAAAGGGAUAAGUAGAGUGGCAAACGGGUGAGUAACACGUGGGUGACCUGCCUUCGAGCGGGGGAUAACGUCCCGAAAGGGACGCUAAUACCGCAUAACAUCCUGCCUUUUAAGAGGUGGAGAUCAAAGCCGGGGACCGCAAGGCCUGGCACUUGAAGAGGGGCCCGCGUCUGAUUAGCUAGUUGGUGGGGUAAUGGCCUACCAAGGCAACGAUCAGUA